CGGGCGGUUCCGGGGGCGGCGGCGCGGGAGUUUGUUCGGGGUGGACAAAGGCGCGCUGCCGGGUUUCGUUCGUUUCUCCCUGAACCAUUGUUAUGGAAAGCAAGUGCGGGCGAGCUUUUGUGCGGGAGACAAUAGGGGAGUGAUCGCACUUGAGUUAAUGCUGCGAAACUGAACUUCAAGAACACUUUUUUUUUUUUUUUCCCUCUGUGAGAAAUGGGGAAGUGAGUUCAAGCAGCGUGAGUGGAAAGCUGAGAAUAUUGCAAUUACACAGAAUUACCUGGGAAGCCGCUUUUAAAUGUAAGCCUGCGAGAGGGCUGCGUGUCCCGGUGCCCCUGCUGUGUCCCGGCUAGGAGUCCAGGGAAGCCUCUGGUGCGGGAACUGGAAGGUGCCGAAGCCCAGAAGGGCGGCAGCGGCCUUGAAAUACUCGUGAAAGGUGAUACUGAGGGGUCACCUGUGGCUGAAGAGGAACACGAAAGGGGAAGCGACCUGUGCAGAGAAGUUUUCUUUGCAUCUGGUGUUAUGAAAGAGGACGAGGGAGCGUUACUGGCUUUGCAGCGGUUCUCCAUGAGUGGUAAAGAUCAGCUUGAAUAAGUGCCUCAAAAUAGUUGGUGGAUGGAGGAGAUGAAUGCAAGGAGGCAGUCUGCUGUCGUUGCCGUUUGCCGAUACCAGAGCAGGCCUGAUACGGAUUACUUACUUUCCCAAAAACUAAUUAUAUGCACAAAAAGCUGUUACAGAAACCUAACUGUAACAUUAGGGUUGAUAUUCCAACUUUUUUAAUAAAAGCUAUUUAGAAAUAUGAAGCA
RNAcentral lists this long non-coding RNA (803 nucleotides) under Apteryx rowi (Okarito brown kiwi). RNAcentral describes it as "lncRNA (ENSARWG00000005625.1)". The record is from RNAcentral. Lineage: Eukaryota; Metazoa; Chordata; Aves; Apterygiformes; Apterygidae.